This 500-nucleotide long non-coding RNA is filed under the name Triticum aestivum (bread wheat). RNAcentral's name for it is "long non-coding RNA (TAES_LNC005718)". Lineage: Eukaryota; Viridiplantae; Streptophyta; Magnoliopsida; Poales; Poaceae. The record is from RNAcentral.
GAAGCUGUUGAUUUGGUCAUAGAUCUCUCUCGAUUUCAGAUGCCGCACCGAAAGCGAAAGCGAAGCACUCAGCAAAUAUACUAACAAUAUAAGCACGAUCAUCAUAUAGGAGUUACUCAACACGCACAUUACAUCAGGCAUAUGACCAAGGUAUUUUAUUUAUUAAACUCCAGUCUCCCACAUGCACCCAAUCAUAGAGACGAUGUACAACAAGAAAAUACUUAUAAACAUGACAUACGGUUCCGCUGCUGGCAGCAUGAAGUCUUUUACCAUAGCUAGGGUCUGAUCCGGCUACGAAACAUAGCAGAUGCAACCAGUCCUUUCAUCUCGGCCACAUGCACCACCAGUUCUUCAUCUUGGCCACAUGCAAGGGACCUGGCAAAUGGCAAUAAACCAAAAGUUAAGACCAUUUAAGAACAACAGUUGUAUUUUGCACAAGAAAUGCAUGGAAGAGAACGAAACCAUGCAGCAUCGAUGGCUUACAUUUGUGCUAUUCGCAG